CACUAAGCGGAGGAAAAGAAACUAACCAGGAUUCCCCUAGUAACGGCGAGUGAAGAGGGAAUAGCCCAGCACCGAAGCCUGCGGCAGUUUUGCUGUUAGGCAAUGUGGUGUUAGGGUCGGCUCGUGGGAUUGCCACUCCAUUCGAAGUCCAGCAUUGAGUAUGGUUCCCUGGAAUUGUCCCAGAGAGGGUGAAAGGCCCGUACGAAUGGAGGUUCAGACAAGUAAGGCAAUUCACUAGGCCGGCCUUCGAGUCGGGUUGUUUGGGAAUGCAGCCCAAAGUGGGUGGUAAACUCCAUCCAAGGCUAAAUACAAGCACGAAUCCGAUAGCGAACAAGUACCGUGAGGGAAAGUUGAAAAGUACUUUGAAAAGAGAGUAAACAGUACGUGAAACCGCAUAGAGGUAAACGGGUGGCGUCAAGCUGUUAGCCCGGAGGAUUCAGUCAGCAAGGGUGUUGUGUGUGCGCCUAGCGCAUCUAUCAGUCGGAGUAAGUAUCAGUAGCCCACUGGAAGACGGUGGGCCCGGCUUUAGUCGGGAUAUGCGUACCGGGUGGAUGCCGGAGCAUGCUACUGGCCUAUUGGACUGCCUUGCUGGUGCACUUCCUUCGCGGUGAACACCACGACCGAUGGUACUGCCAGUCUGCUGUAGACAAGUCGUGCAUGAUCAGUUGUUUCAAUUGAUUGUGUUCGAUCACAGGCAAAUUCGGUGGCCGGCGUAGGUCUGCUUCGGUAGAUUUGCGUGUUAUCGUUCAUCGGUUGUCAACGGACUAGAUGAUGGUUGUUGUAUCCGCCAUUGCUUAGUCUGGUGGUCUACGGUGGUACGAAUAACUGUGCAGGGCAUUGGAGUUUUCGGUCUCAAAUGUGGACUACAUCCAUGGUGCAAAUGGCGUGUAUGGGGCAGCGUUGCAGCCUGCCUGUCCUGGGUGUGAUUGUCGUGUCGCCUGCAAAAAGUAGGCCCGGCAGUGACUCGGGGCAGGAUGGAGUUGUUGGCGUUGUUCUGUGUGUAGUCUGCGGUGGACCAAACAGUCAGUGGUGUAGUGGUAGACGAGCUACCCGACCCGUCUUGAAACACGGACCAAGGAGUUUAACAUGUAUGCAAGUCAAGGGGUCUUACGAAACCCAAAGGCGCAGUGAAAGUGAAGCUCCGACUUGUUUCGGGGUGCGGUGAGAUCCUGUCGUUACUCGCACAUGCCAGCACUAGGCAUAGAGCGGCGGGCGCAUCACCGGCCCGUCCCAUGAUGUGGUCAUUGGAUUUCUAUAGCGGCUGCUUGCAGUUGUUGUAGUGCCAGUGCGUCAUCGGGGCGGUGCAUGAGCAUACAUGUUGAGACCCGAAAGAUGGUGAACUAUGCUUGCGUAGGUUGAAGCCAGAGGAAACUCUGGUGGAGGACCGCAGCGAUUCUGACGUGCAAAUCGAUCGUCAAACGUGAGUAUAGGGGCGAAAGACUAAUCGAACCAUCUAGUAGCUGGUUCCCUC
This 1471-nucleotide ribosomal RNA is filed under the name Cephalobothrium sp. n. 2 AW-2016. RNAcentral's name for it is "eukaryotic LSU rRNA". It matches the Rfam family "Eukaryotic large subunit ribosomal RNA", at positions 44 to 961 of the family's 3401-position model. Lineage: Eukaryota; Metazoa; Platyhelminthes; Cestoda; Lecanicephalidea; Lecanicephalidae. The record is from RNAcentral.